Molecule: ribosomal RNA, 301 nt
Filed under: uncultured bacterium
Lineage: Bacteria
Description: partial 16S ribosomal RNA
Rfam family: Bacterial small subunit ribosomal RNA
Source: RNAcentral
CAGUCGCCGCGGUAAGACGAACCGUGCGAACGUUAUUCGGAAUCACUGGGCUUAAAGCGCGUGUAGGCGGAUGGGAGCGUCGGCCUCUGAAAUCCCCCGGCUCAACCGGGGAAGUGGAGCCGAAACGACCCGUCUGGAGGGACGUAGGGGGACCUGGAACUUCCGGUGGAGCGGUGAAAUGCGUUGAGAUCGGAAGGAACGCCCGUGGCGAAAGCGAGGUCCUGGACGUCUGCUGACGCUGAGACGCGAAAGCCAGGGGAGCGAACGGGAUUAGAUACCCGGGUAGUCCCUGUCUCUUAUA